RNAcentral lists this ribosomal RNA (257 nucleotides) under uncultured bacterium. RNAcentral describes it as "partial 16S ribosomal RNA". It matches the Rfam family "Bacterial small subunit ribosomal RNA", at positions 99 to 354 of the family's 1533-position model. The record is from RNAcentral.
CGGACGGGUGAGUAACGUGUGGGCAACCUGCCCUGCACUGGGGAAUAAUCAUUGGAAACGAUGACUAAUACCGCGUACGGUUCCUGGGAGGCAUCUUCCGGGAAAGAAAGGAUUUAUUCGGUGCAGGAUGGGCCCGCAUCUGAUUAGCUAGUUGGUGAGAUAACAGCCCACCAAGGCGACGAUCAGUAGCCGACCUGAGAGGGUGACCGGCCACAUUGGGACUGAGACACGGCCCAAACUCCUACGGAAGGCAGCAG